RNAcentral lists this ribosomal RNA (460 nucleotides) under uncultured bacterium. RNAcentral describes it as "partial 16S ribosomal RNA". It matches the Rfam family "Bacterial small subunit ribosomal RNA", at positions 338 to 795 of the family's 1533-position model. The record is from RNAcentral.
CCUACGGGUGGCAGCAGUGAGGAAUAUUGGUCAAUUGGCGCGAGCCUGAACCAGCCAAGUCGCGUGAAGGAUGACUGCCCUACUGGUUGUAAACUUCUUUUAUAAAGGAAUAAAGUGAGCCACGUGUUCCUUUUUGUAUUUACUUUAUGAAUAAGGAUCGUCUAACUCCGUGCCAGCAGCCGCGGUAAUACGGAGGGUCCGAGCGUUAUCCGGAUUUAUUGGGUUUAAAGGGAGCGUAGAUGGGUUGUUAAGUCAGUUGUGAAAGUUUGCGGCUCAACCGUAAAAGUGCAAUUGAUACUGGCAGUCUUGAGUACAGUUGAGGUAGGCGGAAUUCGUGGUGUAGCGGUGAAAUGCUUAGAUAUCACGAAGAACUCCGAUAGCGAAGGCAGCUUACUAAACUGCGACUGACAUUGAGGCUCGAAAGUGUGGGUAUCAAACAGGAUUAGAUACCCGGGUAGUC